AGCUUCUCCGACUUCGAUGAAAUUCUGCACCAACAGAAUUGACGCUAGAGGAAGGGGUGUGUCUUUGCAGUACCCUUGUUCUUAAGGAGUGCUCAAUGGGACUGAUUCUGAUCAUCUUCUCUGACAUUUUCUUCUCCUUCUUCUACUAGAUCCUCACCUGAUGCCUCCCCGUAGAGCAUCCACCAGGCGAUCCAUGGCCUCCGUGGCCAGAUCUCAAGCUCCGACCUCACCCCCGAUUUUCCAGGCCCCUCCCCCUCUUCCGACAAUAGUGGUCGAC
This 277-nucleotide long non-coding RNA is filed under the name Elaeis guineensis (African oil palm). RNAcentral's name for it is "long non-coding RNA (EGUI_LNC031613)". The record is from RNAcentral. Lineage: Eukaryota; Viridiplantae; Streptophyta; Magnoliopsida; Arecales; Arecaceae.